RNAcentral lists this unclassified non-coding RNA (21 nucleotides) under Chlamydomonas reinhardtii. RNAcentral describes it as "small RNA Cre_3585". Lineage: Eukaryota; Viridiplantae; Chlorophyta; Chlorophyceae; Chlamydomonadales; Chlamydomonadaceae. The record is from RNAcentral.
UGUGCGGAAGCACCUGAGGUG